GACAGAGGUGGCGAGCGUUGUUCGGAUUCACUGGGUUUAAAGAGCACGUAGGCGGUCGGGCAUGUCCGGUGUGAAAGCCCCCGGCUCAACCGGGGAACUGCGCCGGAAACUAUCCGACUCGAGGGCAGGAGAGGAGAGUGGAACUCCUGGUGUAGCGGUGAAAUGCGUAGAUAUCAGGAGGAACGCCGGAGGCGAAAGCGACUCUCUGGACUGUCCCUGACGCUGUGGUGCGAAAGCCAGGGGAG
Molecule: ribosomal RNA, 245 nt
Filed under: uncultured bacterium
Lineage: Bacteria
Description: partial 16S ribosomal RNA
Rfam family: Bacterial small subunit ribosomal RNA
Source: RNAcentral